RNAcentral lists this ribosomal RNA (663 nucleotides) under Vibrio parahaemolyticus. RNAcentral describes it as "partial 23S ribosomal RNA". It matches the Rfam family "Bacterial large subunit ribosomal RNA", at positions 1 to 710 of the family's 2925-position model. The record is from RNAcentral. Lineage: Bacteria; Pseudomonadati; Pseudomonadota; Gammaproteobacteria; Vibrionales; Vibrionaceae.
GUUGUAUGGUUAAGUGACUAAGCGUACACGGUGGAUGCCUUGGCAGUCAGAGGCGAUGAAAGACGUAGUAACUUGCGAUAAGCCCAGAUUAGGUAGUAACAACCAUUUGAGUCUGGGAUUUCUGAAUGGGGAAACCCACGUGCAUAAGCACGUAUCCUUACCUGAAUACAUAGGGUAAGGAGGCGAACCGGGGGAACUGAAACAUCUAAGUACCCCGAGGAAAAGAAAUCAACCGAGAUUCCGAAAGUAGCGGCGAGCGAAAUUGGACUAGCCCUUAAGCUUUACACGCGUUAGACGAACGGUCUGGAAAGUCCGACGAUACAGGGUGAUAGUCCCGUAGUUGACGACGUGUGUUCAGUGAAAUCGAGUAGGGCGGGACACGUGAUAUCCUGUCUGAAUAUGGGGGGACCAUCCUCCAAGGCUAAAUACUACUGACUGACCGAUAGUGAACCAGUACCGUGAGGGAAAGGCGAAAAGAACCCCUGUGAGGGGAGUGAAAUAGAACCUGAAACCGUGUACGUACAAGCAGUAGGAGCAGGCUUUGUCCUGUGACUGCGUACCUUUUGUAUAAUGGGUCAGCGACUUAUAUUCAGUGGCAAGGUUAACCAUCUAGGGGAGCCGUAGGGAAACCGAGUCUUAACUGGGCGUUCAGUCUCUGGAUAU